GAUGAAGAACGUAGCGAAAUGCGAUACUUGGUGUGAAUUGCAGAAUCCCGUGAACCAUCGAGUCUUUGAACGCAAGUUGCGCCCGAAGCCAUCAGGUUGAGGGCACGUCUGCCUGGGCGUCACAUAUCGUUGCCCAAUGCCUAUUGCAGUGCAAUAGGAAUUUCUAGGGCGAAUGAUGCCUUCCCGUGAGCGUUGUUGCCUCGCGGUUGGUUGAAAAUCGAGUCCUUGGUAGGGUGUGCCAUGGUAGAUGGUGGUCGAGUUAGAACGAUACCGAUCAUGUGCAUGCUCCCCAAAAUAUGGCCUCUAUGACCCACACGCGUCUUUUGACGCUCAUGACGAGACCUCAGGUCAGGCGGGGCUACCCGCUGAAUUUAAGCAUAUCAAUAAGCGGAGGA
This 395-nucleotide unclassified non-coding RNA is filed under the name soil metagenome. RNAcentral's name for it is "partial contains 5.8S ribosomal RNA, internal transcribed spacer 2, and large subunit ribosomal RNA". The stretch from base 1 to 122 matches the Rfam family "5.8S ribosomal RNA", at positions 35 to 154 of the family's 154-position model. The record is from RNAcentral.